CUAAAAAUGUGGGUGUGAUAGAUAUGCCUGACUUAAUCAUUCCACAUUGUAUUCAAAAAUUAUAAUACCACUCCAUUUCUCAUAAAUAUAUACAACUAUAAUUUGACAAUGUAUAUAUAUAUUUUAAAUAAUUAUAUAUGGAUUUCAUUCUGUGUAAUAUAGAAUGAAAGCUUGCUGUUAAAUCUGGCGUAUGCCAACUGUACCCCUACAGAUAAGAAAUGAAUUGGGACCCUUGUCUUUUAUGAAAUGAAUAUUGCACAAUAUUAAGAAGUUGCCAAGGUAAUAAUUCUGUAAAGUCUUUCUCUUCUUGCCUUUGUCUCAGUGAGCCGAGUUGGGGCUUUAUGUGGUAAAAGCUGUUGUACAUGUUUCUAAGUUACUUUACCCCGUGUGGCUCCACUGCCACCUGCUCCUUCAAGGUACGUUCUCUUGUCAAGGACUGUCCUCCGGGUAAGAGAAGACAGGGCCCAUCAAGUCCAUUUUCAAAAGUAGCCUCUGCUCAGGACCAACCACUUGUGUCUUCAUUGCAACAGAACUCCUUUCUGUGAACUUGCUACAAAGUAGUUGUUAUCAGUUAGGGUUCAGGGGAGGAACAGAUUUAAUGUAAAAUAUAUACGAUUAUAUAAAGGAUUUUAAAAGUAGGCCUACAGUGGCUUCCUGUGGAAUCACAGGAGGAGGAUUGCAAAUUGGCCAUCUCCACGCUAGACAGCUAGAGGAUCCAGUCGAGGGUCAAAGGCCUGGAGGUCACUGCAGAGUGUAGUGAAAGUCCAUAUCAGAAAACUGAAGGGUCUGCAUCGGAAGGAUAAAGCAUCUUCACAGAAAGUCUGAAUGACCUGGGGACAAAAAUCCAAAGGCAGUCUCGACAUGCACUUGCAGGUGCAUACAUAAAGUCCUGAGCAAACUGUGAACCUCCAGAGGCCGGCAGAAUGGCGGACUCCCAGGAGACCCUGCGGCCCAAGACAGCUGUGGGCAACAAGCCCCGAAAUCUCGCGAGAUUUCUUGAGCACCAUCCACGCCUACGAGCUUCCAUCAGAGCAGUCUUCUCUGGAUGUGGUGGAAAUCCUUUGAGCAUUAUUAGGACUCAAAGCUGGAUGUCCUUGACAGGGAGACUCAGGAGUCUGGACAGAAUCCUGCAGGCAACGUGGAACCACAAAGCCUAA
This 1157-nucleotide long non-coding RNA is filed under the name Chinchilla lanigera (long-tailed chinchilla). Its description in RNAcentral is "lncRNA (ENSCLAG00000028132.1)". The record is from RNAcentral. Lineage: Eukaryota; Metazoa; Chordata; Mammalia; Rodentia; Chinchillidae.